UAGCGUCUGCGUGCGUCCCUACGUAGUGAGAGAAGAGGGUAGUGGGCGAGGCUUCUUCUGUGGUCAUGGCAACCGGAUGUCUGCCUGAGUGCUCCUGUCUAACUAGACAGACUGAACCGAGAAGUGUGCCAGAACACGUCGUUCCCCGCCGUAUAUCUACUGGAGAACAAAACUUAGGGCUCAAGUGAUUCAUAGCCAAGAAACAAAAGAAAACCAUCCCGUUUCCUCCAACUUAUUUAGCUGAUAACUGGAUAACUGUGCCAUCUGCUGGCUGUGAACUGCCUGGCUACCUAGAACAAAACUGUCGGAAGACUUGGAAUGGACAGUCAAGAGGAGGAAACUACCAGCAGCCACAACAGUUAUAGCAAUGUUUGAUGUAGGAAAGAGUCCUUGAGCCAGGCAGUGGUG
Long non-coding RNA from Mastomys coucha (southern multimammate mouse), 408 nucleotides. RefSeq lists it as uncharacterized. The record is from RefSeq and is a predicted model, not a curated record. The transcript is spliced from 3 exons. NCBI's taxonomy places the organism in Eukaryota, Metazoa, Chordata, Mammalia, Rodentia, Muridae.